GGAUUNCCCUAGUAACUGCGAGUGAAGCGGGAUGAGCUCAAAUUUUGANUCUNNCGNUCUUCAGGCCGUCCGAGUUGUAAUCUAGAGAAGCNUCUUCCGCGCUGGACCGUGUACAAGUCUCCUGGAAGGGAGCGUCGUAGAGGGUGAGAAUCCCGUCUNNGACACGGACCGCCAGUGCUAUGUGAUGCGCUCUCGACGAGUCGAGUUGUUUGGGAAUGCAGCUCAAAUCGGGUGGUAAACUNCAUCUAAAGCUAAAUAUUGGCGAGAGACCGAUAGCGAACAAGUACCGUGAGGGAAAGAUGAAAAGAACUUUGGAAAGAGAGUUAAACAGUACGUGAAAUUGCUGAAAGGGAAACGCUUGAGGUCAGUCGCGUCGGACGGGGAUCAACCUUGCUUCUCGCUCGGUGUACUUCCUGCUCGACGGGUCAGCAUCAGUUUCGGUCGCCGUACAAGGGUCGAGGGAAUGUGGCACUCCUCGGAGUGUGUUAUAGCCUUCGGUCGCAUGCGGUGGUUGGGACUGAGGAACUCAGCACGACCCCUCGAGGGUUCGGGGCCACGGCCUACGUUAACGUGCUUAGGAUGCUGGCAUAAUGGCCUUAAGCGACC
RNAcentral lists this ribosomal RNA (606 nucleotides) under uncultured fungus. RNAcentral's name for it is "eukaryotic LSU rRNA". It matches the Rfam family "Eukaryotic large subunit ribosomal RNA", at positions 72 to 649 of the family's 3401-position model. The record is from RNAcentral. Lineage: Eukaryota; Fungi.